UGGGAAGUAUUGGGCAAUGGGCGAAAGCCUGACCCAGCAACGCCGCGUGAAGGAAGAAGGCUUUCGGGUUGUAAACUUCUUUUCUCAGGGACGAAAGAAAUGACGGUACCUGAGGAAUAAGCCACGGCUAACUACGUGCCAGCAGCCGCGGUAAUACGUAGGUGGCAAGCGUUAUCCGGAUUUAUUGGGUGUAAAGGGCGUGUAGGCGGGAGUGCAAGUCAGAUGUGAAAACUAUGGGCUCAACCCAUAGCCUGCAUUUGAAACUGUACUUCUUGAGUGCUGGAGAGGCAAUCGGAAUUCCGUGUGUAGCGGUGAAAUGCGUAGAUAUACGGAGGAACACCAGUGGCGAAGGCGGAUUGCUGGACAGUAACUGACGCUGAGGCGCGAAAGCGUGGGGAGCAAACAGGAUUAGAUACCC
This 418-nucleotide ribosomal RNA is filed under the name uncultured bacterium. Its description in RNAcentral is "bacterial SSU rRNA". It matches the Rfam family "Bacterial small subunit ribosomal RNA", at positions 355 to 787 of the family's 1533-position model. The record is from RNAcentral.